GAUCCUGGCUCAGGACGAACGCUGGCGGCGUGCCUAACACAUGCAAGUCGAACGGGGCUAGGAAAGCUUGCUUUCCGAAGCCUAGUGGCGGACGGGUGGGUAACGCGUGAGUAACCUGCCUUUCAGAGGGGAAUAACGUUCUGAAAAGAACGCUAAUACCGCAUAACGUACAGUUACCGCAUGGUAGCAGUACCAAAGGAGCAAUCCGCUGAAAGAUGGACUCGCGUCCGAUUAGCUAGUUGGUGGGGUAAAGGCCUACCAAGG
This 264-nucleotide ribosomal RNA is filed under the name uncultured bacterium. RNAcentral describes it as "partial 16S ribosomal RNA". It matches the Rfam family "Bacterial small subunit ribosomal RNA", at positions 15 to 273 of the family's 1533-position model. The record is from RNAcentral.